GGCGUCCGGGUGAGUAACACGUAGGAAAUCUUUUCUCGAGCGGGGGAGAACGUCCCGAAAGGGACGCUAAUACCGCAUAUGCCCACGUUGACUUUGGUCGAUGAGGGGAAAGCUGGUCUUUGUAUAUACGCUAGCACUCGAGAAUGGUCCUGCGGCGCAUCAGUUAGUUAGUGGGGUAACGGCCUACCAAGGCGAAGAUGCGUAGCUGGUCUGAGAGGAUGAUCAGCCACACUGGCACUGAAAUAUGGGCCAGACUCCUAUGGGAGGCAGCAGUGGGGAAUAUUGGACAAUGGGCGUAAGCCUGAUCCAGCCACGCCGCGUGAGUGAUGAAGGCCUUCGGGUUGUAAAGCUUUGUGGGGAGGGACGAAAAUGGCCAGGAAGAAACGCCUGGUCCUUGACGGUACCUCCUUAGUAAGCACCGGCUAACUCUGUGUUAGCAGUUGCGGUAAUACAGAGGGUGCGAACGUUGCUCGGAAUUACUGGGCGUAAAGCGCGUGUAGGCGGAUUGCUAAGUCGGGCGUGAAAGCCCCAGGUUUAACCUGGGAACUGCGCUCGAAACUGGCAGUCUUGAGUAUCGGAGAGGGUGGCGGAAUUCCUGGUGUAGAGGUGAAAUUUGUAGAUAUCAGGAGGAACACCGGUGGUGAAGGUGGCCACCUGGACGAUUACUGACGCUGAGACGCGAAAGCGUGGGGAGUAAACAGGAUUAGAUGCCCUGGUAGUCCACGCUGUAAAUGAUGGGUGCUGGGUGUCGCGGGUAUUGACCCCCGCGGUGCCGUAGCCAAUGUGUUAAGCACCCCGCCUGGGAAGUACGGCCGUAAGGCUAAAACUCAAAGGAAUUGACGGGGGCCCGCACAAGCAGUGGAGCAUGUGGUUUAAUUCGACACCAUGCGCAGAAUUUUACCCGGGCUAGAAAAGCAUGGAACCCUUUAGAAAUAUUGGGGUGCUCGUAAGAGAACCAUGAUUUAGGUGCUGUAUGGCUGUUGUCAGCUCGUGUUGUGAGAUGUUGGGUUAAGUCCCGUAAUGAGCGUAACCCUUGUCCUUAGUUGCCAUUAUUUAGUUGGGCAUUCUAAGGAGACUGCCGGCGUUAAGCCGGAGGAAGGUGGGGAUGACGUCAAGUCCUUAUGGCCCUUAUGUCCGGGGCUACACACGUGCUACAAUGGUCGGUAUAGAACGUCGCGUACCCGUAAGGGGUAGUCAAUUGGCAAAAGCCGACCUUAGUACGGAUUGCAGUCUGUAAUUUGACUGCAUGAAGCCGGAAUUGUUAGUAAUCGCUAAUUAGUAGGUAGCGGUGAAUAUGUUUCCGGGCCUUGUACACACCGCCCGUCACACCAUGGGAAUCGAUUGCUCCAGAAGUGGCCGAGCCAACCCGUAAGGGAGGCAGGUCCCCAAGGAGUGGUCGGUG
This 1402-nucleotide ribosomal RNA is filed under the name metagenome. RNAcentral describes it as "bacterial SSU rRNA". It matches the Rfam family "Bacterial small subunit ribosomal RNA", at positions 97 to 1473 of the family's 1533-position model. The record is from RNAcentral.